GACGAACGCUGGCGGCGUGCCUAAUACAUGCAAGUCGAACGCUGAAGGAGGAGCUUUGUUCUCUGGACGAGUUGCGAACGGGUGAGUAACGCGUAGGUAACCUGCCCGGUAGCGGGGGAUAACUUUUGGAAACGAUGGCUAAUACCGCAUAAUAGUUGAUGUUGCAUGACAUUUGCUUAAAAGUUGCAGUUGUAUCACUACCAGUUGGACCUGCGUUGGAUUAGCUUGGUGGUGGGGUAACGGCUCACUAUGGCGACGAUGCAGAGCCGAACUGUGUGGGGGAGUAGCCGCCCUGGGACGGUGACACGGCCCAGACGGCUUCGGGGAGGAGCAAUAGGGAAACGUGAGGAAGGGGUGGAAGUCAGACCGAACAACGCCGCAGGAGGGAAGAAGGAUGUCGGGUCGGAAAGCACGGUUGUAAGGGAAGAAAGAGUUUUAGAGUGGAAAGUUCACGCAGUGACGGUAACUGAUAAGAAAGGGACGGCUAACUACGUG
This 495-nucleotide ribosomal RNA is filed under the name uncultured bacterium. Its description in RNAcentral is "partial 16S ribosomal RNA". It matches the Rfam family "Bacterial small subunit ribosomal RNA", at positions 28 to 507 of the family's 1533-position model. The record is from RNAcentral.